UACGGGGGGGGCAAGCGUUGUUCGGAAUUACUGGGCGUAAAGGGCUUGUAGGUGGCCAACUAAGUCAGACGUGAAAUCCCUCGGCUUAACCGGGGAACUGCGUCUGAUACUGGAUGGCUUGAGUGUGGGAGAGGGAUGCGGAAUUCCAGGUGUAGCGGUGAAAUGCGUAGAUAUCAGGAGGAACACCUGUGGUGUAGACAGCUUACUGGACCAUUUCUGACGCUGAGACACGAAAGCGUGGGUAGCAAACAGG
RNAcentral lists this ribosomal RNA (253 nucleotides) under uncultured bacterium. Its description in RNAcentral is "partial 16S ribosomal RNA". It matches the Rfam family "Bacterial small subunit ribosomal RNA", at positions 524 to 776 of the family's 1533-position model. The record is from RNAcentral.